AGUGAACGCUGGCGGUAGGCCUAACACAUGCAAGUCGAACGGCAGCACAGUAAGAGCUUGCUCUUACGGGUGGCGAGUGGCGGACGGGUGAGGAAUACAUCGGAAUCUACUUUUUCGUGGGGGAUAACGUAGGGAAACUUACGCUAAUACCGCAUACGACCUACGGGUGAAAGCAGUGGAUCUUCGGACCUUGCGCGAUUGAAUGAGCCGAUGUCGGAUUAGCUAGUUGGCGGGGUAAAGGCCCACCAAGGCGACGAUCCGUAGCUGGUCUGAGAGGAUGAUCGGCCACACUGGAACUGAGACACGGUCCAGACUCCUACGGGAGGCAGCAGUGGGGAAUAUUGGACAAUGGGCGCAAGCCUGAUCCAGCAAUACCGCGUGGGUGAAGAAGGCCUUCGGGUUGUAAAGCCCUUUUGUUGGGAAAGAAAAGCAGCAGGUUAAUACCCCGCUGUUCUGACGGUACCCAAAGAAUAAGCACCGGCUAACUUCGUG
This 492-nucleotide ribosomal RNA is filed under the name uncultured bacterium. RNAcentral's name for it is "partial 16S ribosomal RNA". It matches the Rfam family "Bacterial small subunit ribosomal RNA", at positions 29 to 507 of the family's 1533-position model. The record is from RNAcentral.